This is a long non-coding RNA of Humulus lupulus (European hop), 397 nucleotides long. RefSeq lists it as uncharacterized. Lineage: Eukaryota; Viridiplantae; Streptophyta; Magnoliopsida; Rosales; Cannabaceae. The transcript is spliced from 3 exons. The record is from RefSeq and is a predicted model, not a curated record.
UUUGCUGUUACUGGUUUCGAAUUCAGGUAUGUUAGCAGCGAAGUUAUAACGAUCAGGUUGAGUUCUGGGCCUAAUAUCUGUGCUGUUGCUCUGCUAUGAAAUAUUAGGGGUUGGAGAUUGAAGGGGAGUUGCCUGAGAAAAAGACUUGUUAUGAAGGAGUAUUUUAUAAUUACUUUAGCAUAGGAAUGGAUGCUCAGGUGGCUUACGGCUUUCAUCAUUUACGUAAUGAGAAACCUUACCUGGCACAAGGACCAAUUUCUAAUAAGGUCUGGUUUGUUAUCUUAUUAUGUGAAAAGUCUUGUGAUUACGGACUAUUACCAAUGAUUUUUUAGAACUAAAAUUGUUAUUUGGAUAUUUGUAUCUUGAUGUAAAUGUACCCUACUGGAAAAAAGGCACA